CCUACGGGAGGCAGCAGUGGGGGAUAUUGCACAAUGGGGGGAACCCUGAUGCAGCGACGCCGCGUGGGUGAAGAAGCGCCUCGGCGCGUAAAGCCCUGUCAGCAGGGAAGAAAAUGACGGCACCUGAAGAAGAAGCCCCGGCCAACUACGUACCAGCAGCCGCGGGAAUACGUAGGGGGCAAGCGUUAUCCGGAUGUACGGGGUGUAAAGGGGGCGCAGACGGCGAUGCAAGCCAGGAGUGAAAGCCCGGGGCCCAACCCCGGGACUGCUCUUGGAACUGCGUGGCUGGAGUGCAGGAGGGGCAGGCGGAAUUCCUGGUGUAGCGGUGAAAUGCGUAGAUAUCAGGAGGAACCCCGGUGGCGAAGGCGGCCUGCUGGACUGCAACUGACGUUGAGGCCCGAAAGCGUGGGGAGCAAACAGGAUUAGAUACCCUUGUAGUC
Molecule: ribosomal RNA, 440 nt
Filed under: uncultured bacterium
Lineage: Bacteria
Description: partial 16S ribosomal RNA
Rfam family: Bacterial small subunit ribosomal RNA
Source: RNAcentral